GAGAUCGGGGACACCCAGCCGAGCUAUCGGGUACUACACCUGGGAGUGCGCAGCCUGGGCGGACACGCUGCAGCCUCAGCCCAGGAAAACUGCGAUUACACGGAGCAGGGAGGAGGCCAUCUAGCGGCAGCUGGCGGCAUUGCAGCAGGACAGGACGCGGCGACGGGCUCCGGCAGUGGCAGCAGAGUUCCCGGGGACGGGAGAGACGGCUCAGCAGCUGCCUCAUCACCAAGCCCCCGCUGCUCCGUCCUCCCACUCCUCAGCGUUACACCCUGCUGUAUACUGAGCGCAGACAGGAUAAGGAUUACUCUGUCACGUUUUGCACACAGAUCUGGUGGAGUCGGCAGAGAAGAGUAUACUGAACACAGAACAAAGGAAAGAAAUGCCAGUAGAGAAUCCCCCUCAUUCACGGAAAUACGAGAUGAGAGCUCUGUAACCAUGGCAACUAGAAGAAUGGCUGCUCAGACCUUUGUGUUUCCAUGGAAACAAAUAAUGCAAAUUCAGCCUUCCAUCAGCAUCUACUUGCUCUGUAUACCAGAUACAUAGUGCGUGCUACCAGCCCUUCUUACCAUGUUUAGCAUUUAGUUUAACCUGGUUCCAGAACACUAAAUUCAGUUAAAUGCACCUCUCAGAAAAGGGUGGGGUGUACAAAUUACACAUGAGUUAAGGAAUGUGAAUUACCUAUUGUGUAUACAUGUGUUAUUAAUACAAUAAACUUGCUCAUGUCAAA
Molecule: long non-coding RNA, 730 nt
Organism: Pseudophryne corroboree (corroboree frog)
Lineage: Eukaryota; Metazoa; Chordata; Amphibia; Anura; Myobatrachidae
Exons: 2
Source: RefSeq, a predicted model, not a curated record